This 392-nucleotide unclassified non-coding RNA is filed under the name plant metagenome. Its description in RNAcentral is "partial contains small subunit ribosomal RNA, internal transcribed spacer 1, and 5.8S ribosomal RNA". The record is from RNAcentral.
UUUCCGUAGGUGAACCUGCGGAAGGAUCAUUAACACUAAUUAAUGAGUCCAAACCAUUGGAUUUCAACCAACCAUUGUACGAACCUAUUCUUUACGGUUGUGAAUCCACAAGAAAGACAAAAGACCAACACAUUGGGGACAUUGUGGUUUGUGUGAUGCUUCUCCGCGAAUUUUCUUAAUUGAUUUUCUGCGGAGCACGCCUACACAGAAAACUUGUUCUCUUGUUUGGGUGUUUUCUUUGUUGUUGUUUUCACAGCUAGUCCCUGUAAACUACUUUUCUAAACGAUUUUGAAUCUAACUGACUAAAAACAUUUUUUGAUUUUUCCCUCGUGGAUCAGUCAAAUCAUAAGAUAAACGCGAAACAACUCUUAACAACGGAUAUCUUGGCUCUC